GUCCUUAACUGGCAGAGGAGACACCAUGAUCAAGAAGAUGGUUUUCCCAGGGCUAGUGAGGCUCAUCCAUUACACUUGGGAUGUGCUGACCCCUGUAAUUUCCCCUAAUGCAGGACACCUGACUGCCUAAUAUGUGAUAGUGGUGGAUUGCAUUUGAGCAGUCCCUUG
This is a small nuclear RNA of Nannospalax galili (Upper Galilee mountains blind mole rat), 168 nucleotides long. Its record names the gene U1. It matches the Rfam family "U1 spliceosomal RNA". From Rfam's summary of the family: U1 is a small nuclear RNA (snRNA) component of the spliceosome (involved in pre-mRNA splicing). Its 5' end forms complementary base pairs with the 5' splice junction, thus defining the 5' donor site of an intron. There are significant differences in sequence and secondary structure between metazoan and yeast U1 snRNAs, the latter being much longer (568 nucleotides as compared to 164 nucleotides in human). The record is from Ensembl. NCBI's taxonomy places the organism in Eukaryota, Metazoa, Chordata, Mammalia, Rodentia, Spalacidae.